GCCAAAUAGGAAAACACAACGACAUUAACUUCUAACGGAAAAGGUAGGGCCUAUCUAGCAGAGGACGGAACGGAACCUCCUGAUUGGACAGAAGGACCGCCUGUCUUUUAACAGGAAGGAGGGGUGAAAAACACGGAAAAGCGCCUAUUUUCAAAACAUGAGUACUCCCGAAGGUACUUUCGCUAUUAUAAUGAAUUAUUUUGAUGCAGGGCAUACAUACGACGUGGUAGUUGAUAUGUUGUCAACCAAUCACAACAUCAGGAUGAUUAUACGCAUGGGUUGUACAGAAGGAACAACUAUUCACAACUGGAUGAGGUGAGACGUGCCAUCCUUACAGAGCUGCAUGGACCAGGGCAACUAUUCCGCUAUCGGACUAUGUGGCAAGUACAGCAAAAACACAAGCUACGUAUUAAACGACACACAGUGAUGAGACUGCUGAAGCAACUAAAUCCACAAGGAACGGAUGCGAGAACACUACAGACCAUGGGACUGAAAAUGGCACCAUGGCUGCAAUACAGUGUACCCUCAGACACGAGCAUACAGACUGCGGCCGCUUAUAAGUGUAAUUGUGUUACAGCAAAAAGUGUUCAUCUGCCAAAAACUGAUUUCAGUCAAAUAAAAAAGUAUUGCAGCAGGGCUCAAUUUUGGAUGGACCUGUUUGGAGACCUGAGAGACUCUGGACACUUUAAUGGCAGCCAUGAACUUAAGGACUUAUUGAGAUUCUGCUUCAAUAAUGUUCUGCAAAAAGACCUGGAUGAGAGCACAGACCUCUGGAAUAAGCACAGGAUUAGACUCUCCAGACAUGCAUCAUGUCCUGGGGGAACUACAGACGAACUCUAUCUCUUACCUCAUAUAUCAACUGACAAGACUUGACUAUAUCCAUUCUCACAAAAAUAUGUUUGGUUCAAAGGACUGGAUACGUUUCCAGAGUCAAGGCAAACUCUUCAUUCAUGCAGUGAUCCAGACAUCCAGGAUUAUCUUCAACAGACUGUUGAGCGAAAUGGAUUACAGCAGCCACAUAAUUGGGAGUCAGCCUCAGAACUUUAUGUCACCUUGAAAGAAAUAGCUGGCCUAUAAAUAUGGUCUACUGCAGCCCACUCUUAAAGGCCAGAUGUUAAAGGAAAACAUUCUCAAAUGUGGCUUAGCUGUUU
Molecule: long non-coding RNA, 1151 nt
Organism: Esox lucius (northern pike)
Lineage: Eukaryota; Metazoa; Chordata; Actinopteri; Esociformes; Esocidae
Exons: 3
Source: RefSeq, a predicted model, not a curated record